GAUGAACGCUGGCGGCGUGCCUAAUACAUGCAAGUCGAGCGAACAGACGAGGAGCUUGCUCCUCUGACGUUAGCGGCGGACGGGUGAGUAACACGUGGAUCAUCUACCUAUAUGACUGGGAUCACUUCGGGACACCGGCGCUUACACCGGAUAAUAUACUGAACCGUAUGGUUCAAUAGUGAAAGACGGCUUUUCUGUCUCUUAUCGAUGGAUCUGCGCCGCAUUAGCUAGUUGGUAAGGUAACGGCCUACCAAGGCAACGAUGCGUAACCGACCUGACAGAGUGAUCGGCCACACUGGAACGGGGACACGGUCCAGGCGCCUACGGGAGGCAGCAGUAGGGAAUCGUCCGCAAUAGGCGAGAGCCUGACGGAGCAGCGCCGCGUGAGUGAUGAAGGUCUUCGGAUCGUAAAACUCUGUUAUUAGGUAAGAACAAAUGUGGAAGUAACUAUACACGUCGUGACGGUACCUAGUCAGAAAGCCACGGCUAACUACGUG
This 497-nucleotide ribosomal RNA is filed under the name uncultured bacterium. RNAcentral describes it as "partial 16S ribosomal RNA". It matches the Rfam family "Bacterial small subunit ribosomal RNA", at positions 28 to 507 of the family's 1533-position model. The record is from RNAcentral.